This is a non-coding RNA of Siniperca chuatsi (mandarin fish), 593 nucleotides long. Lineage: Eukaryota; Metazoa; Chordata; Actinopteri; Centrarchiformes; Sinipercidae. The record is from the annotation of a RefSeq genome assembly.
UGAUAUGUUGAGGACAGCUACAGUUCACUGACUCUGUGUGUUUGCAUAUCUGUCCUGCCUCUCUGCUCCCAGCCGUUAAGAGGCCAGUGUUGAUCAGUGGCUGUCCAGGCCUUUCAGAGCCACUGACACGCCGGCAGCACAAUGAUGUUGUCACUGAUUCCACUGCUGGCCACCCUGGGGCUCCUUGUUCAGGGUUCAUCAGGACAAAUCGUCCUGACUCAGUCUCCUGGAUCUCAGUCUGUUGUUCCAGGACAGACUGUCUCUCUCAGAUGUAAAACCAGUACGAGUGUUGGUAACAUUUUUUACAGCUACCUCCACUGGUACCUUCAGAAACCCGGAGAAGCUCCUAAACUCCUGAUUUAUACAGCUUCAAACCGUCACUCUGGAGUUCCAGGUCGUUUUAGUGGAAGUGGAUCUGGGACUGACUUCACUCUGACCAUCAGUGGAGUUCAGGCGGAAGAUUCAGGAGUUUACUACUGUCAGCAGGGUCGCAGCUACCCGUUCACACAGUGAUACAACGUCGUACAAAAACCUCCCUCAGCUGGAGAGGAACUGAUCUGACUCAACAGCUGCACUGAAACUAAAACAACAGA